RNAcentral lists this ribosomal RNA (2202 nucleotides) under Paramoera sp. MLV-2016. RNAcentral describes it as "partial 18S ribosomal RNA". It matches the Rfam family "Eukaryotic small subunit ribosomal RNA". Lineage: Eukaryota; Metazoa; Arthropoda; Malacostraca; Amphipoda; Pontogeneiidae. The record is from RNAcentral.
UGUGUGWGAGGGUGCAAGCUUUUACACAUGGCGAAACCGCGGACGGCUCAUUAAAUCAGUCGUGGUCCAAAUGGGCUAGUGUUAUCUUACUUGGAUAACUGUGGUAAUUCCAGAGCUAAUACAUGCAACUGUAAGUCCGAUCGGUUUUUGUUGGUUCGUCCUGCAUUGACUGUGACGGCUGCUUUUAUUAGACCAAACCGCUGAGUUAGAGUUGGCUACGUAGCCCUCUCUAUAAGACUCGUGUUAUGGUGACUCUGAAUAACACCUCUUGACAAGCGCACGUAUCCAUUUGUUUGGGACGGCGCUGCCACUUUCGAGUGUCUGCCUUAUCAGCUAUGAAUCGUUCAUUAUGUGCGUACGAUGGCUUUGACGGGUAACGGGGAAUCAGUGUUCGAUUCCGGAGAGGCAGCCUGAGAAACGGCUACCACGUCCAAGGACGGCAGCAGGCACGCAAAUUACCCAAUCCCAGAAUCUGGGGGAGGUAGUGACGGAAUAUAACGAUGCGGGCGCCCCUUCUGGGGCCCCGCAAUCGGAAUGAGCAUUUUCUUUCUAAACACCCUGUUGAGAACCUACUGAAGGGCAAGUCUGGUGCCAGCAGCCGCGGUAAUUCCAGCUUCAGCAGCAUCUAUUAAAGUUGCUGCGGUUAAAAGGCUCGCAGUUGAAUGUCAGUAUAAAGUGUAGCGAUGGUGGACGUUGGAGUGCGUUGUUGUUUGGGGGGUUUGUGCGGUGUGCGCUUGCGUUAAUUUCUCUUCCUGCGAUGUCUAUGCUUUACGGUGUGGGCCUCUCGUGGGGUUUGAGGGUUCGCGUGGGUGUAUGUUCAAUCUCUCUUUCUCGGACACUUCGCGUCUAUAGCUCCCGUCCGUAAACAGCCUCCUCACUGUCGUACAAUGAGUGGAAAUGGUUAUGUUGGAAAGUGGAUACCAAAUGCUGUGUCGAGGGUAUGGUUCCCCGUGUUUCGGCACGGUGUGUCUUUUCACUCUCGCGCACAUUUUCUGUGAUUAAGGCAUGUUUUCAAAGUCACCUUGAGUAAAUCAGAGUGCUCAGCGCAGUCGUAAGGAAUGUGUUGCGUUCGCGCGUAACACGUUCUGUGAUGAAUGUCUAAGACAGACAGACUUGGUUUUGCAUGGGAUGUCGAAAGACGCCGUAUUUCCUGUUGGUUACGAGUCUAAUGCGGACUUGCAGUGUUUCUCAUGUGUUCUCUCUCGUAGGGUUCGCUUGUGACGCCUGUGAUAUAUGAGACCAACAGGUGCGGAAUGAUUAAAAGGAACGGUCGAAGGUAUUGGUAUUGCGAGGCGAGAGGUGAAAUUCUAUGACCCCCGCAAGACCACCUAAAGCGAAAGCGUCUGCCAAGGACGUUUUCAUUAAUCAKAGGCGUGGAGCCUGCGGCUUAAUUUGACUCAACACGGGCCAUCUCACCAGGCCAGCACUCUUGUACGAUUGACAGAUUGAAAGUUCUUUCUCGAUUCAGUGGAUGGUGGUGCAUGGCCGUUCUUAGUUGGUGGAGUGAUCUGUCUGGUUAAUUCCGAUAACGAACGAGACUCUCCCCUGCUAACUAGUCGGUUGGAUUUUGCGUCUGGAGAGUUGUGUGCAUAUGCGUGGACGGUUCUCUUUCUCUUGCGCGCGCGAGGUGUGGUGGCUUUCGGGUUAUCAUGUCGAGCGUGUGUUUGGGUGGGUUUCGCUCUAUGUGUGUGUCUCGCACUCCAAGUCCGCCGCUUACUUACACAAGUUGAGUGUAACAGCAAAGCUAUAUGAGUAAAACUCUUCUUAGAGGGAUUCACGGUUCUGAAGCCGUAAGAAACUGAGAGCAAUAACAGGUCUGUGAUGCCCUUAGAUGUUCUGGGCCGCACGCGCGCUACAAUGCCGGGCUCAGCAGGUGUAUGUCCUUCUCCGAGAGGAGUGGGUAACCCUCUGAAAGCCCUUUAAACAAUUUAUCAAAGGGUUCGCGUAUGUGCUUACGCACACUCGUGUUCUCUUCCUUGGCUUGCUUGGGCCUGGGGCUUGCAAUUCUUUCCCACAAACGAGGAAUGCCUAGUAGCGGCGGAUCACUGAGUUCGCUGUGACUCAGUCCCUGCCCUUUGUACACACCGCCCGUCGCUACUACCGAUUGGGUGUACCAGUGAGAUCCUUGGACUGGCGAGCCUUGUACCCUCUAGCAAUAGAGUGCAAGUGUGUACGACGGGAAGAGGCUCGAACUGGUGCACU